This 196-nucleotide unclassified non-coding RNA is filed under the name plant metagenome. RNAcentral's name for it is "partial contains small subunit ribosomal RNA and internal transcribed spacer 1". The stretch from base 1 to 46 matches the Rfam family "Eukaryotic small subunit ribosomal RNA", at positions 1786 to 1831 of the family's 1831-position model. The record is from RNAcentral.
AAGUCGUAACAAGGUCUCCGUAGGUGAACCUGCGGAGGGAUCAUUGAAGAGUUAGGGCCUCCGGCCCGACCUCCAACCCUUUGUACUCGAUACCAUGUUGCCUCGGGGGCGACCCUGCCGUCCGCGGUCUGGGGCCUCCGGUGGACCACUCAACCCUGCAUCUUUGCGUCUGAGUAAAUUUGUAAAUUAAACAAAA